CAAGUUCGAACGAAUCCCACCGCUGUAGCAAUACAGUGGCGGGGGAAGUGGCGAAAGGGGCAGUAAUGCGUGGGUAACCUACCCCGGGGACGUGGAUAGCCUUCCUAACGGAAGGGUAAUACACGGCGAUCUGGCUGGGAGGCAUCUCCUGUUCAGGAAAUGAAUCUCGCCUCGGGAGGGGCUCACGUCGUAUUAGCUUGUUGGUGGGGUAACGGCCCACCAAGGCAAAGAUGCGUAGCGGGUGUGAGAGCACGACCCGCGCCACUGGCACUGAGACACUGGCCAGACUCCUACGGGAGGCUGCAGUCGAGGAUCUUCGGCAAUGGGCGCAAGCCUGACCGAGCGACGCCGCGUGUGCGAUGAAGGCCUUCGGGUUGUAAAGCACUGUCGAGGGGGAGUAAGCCGAAAGGUUGAACUAUCCCUGGAGGAAGCACGGGCUAAGUUCGUGCCAGCAGCCGCGGUAAGACGAACCGUGCGAACGUUGUUCGGAAUCACUGGGCUUAAAGGGCGCGUAGGCGGGUGUGCAAGUCUGUGGUGAAAGCCUCCAGCUUAACUGGAGAAGUGCCGUGGAUACUGCACAUCUUGAGGAGGGUAGGGGCAUCUGGAACGGUCGGUGGAGCGGUGAAAUGCGUUGAUAUCGACCGGAACUCCGGUGGCGAAGGCGAGGUGCUGGACCCUUUCUGACGCUGAGGCGCGAAAGCCAGGGGAGCAAACGGGAUUAGAUACCCCGGUAGUCCUGGCCCUAAACGUUGAGGACUAGGUUGUGGACUUAACAUGGGUUCACAGCCGGAGCAAAAGUGCUAAGUCCUCCGCCUGGGGAGUAUGGUCGCAAGGCUGAAACU
RNAcentral lists this ribosomal RNA (842 nucleotides) under uncultured Planctomycetota bacterium. Its description in RNAcentral is "bacterial SSU rRNA". It matches the Rfam family "Bacterial small subunit ribosomal RNA", at positions 58 to 901 of the family's 1533-position model. Lineage: Bacteria; Pseudomonadati; Planctomycetota. The record is from RNAcentral.